UCAUGGCUCAGGACGAACGCUGGCGGCGUGCCUAAUACAUGCAAGUCGAACGCACUGACGGAGAACUUGUUCUCUUGACGUGAGUGGCGCACGGGUGAGUAACACGUGGGAAACCUACCCUUCAGCGGGGGAUAACCAUCGGAAACGAUGACUAAUACCGCAUAGACGACAGAACCGCCUGGUUCAAUCGGGAAAGACGGCUUCGGCUGUCACUGAAGGAUGGUCCCGCGCUGCAUUAGCUAGUUGGUAAGGUAACGGCUUACCAAGGCGAUGAUGCAUAGCCGACCUGAGAGGGUGAUCGGCCACAUUGGGACUGAGACACGGCCCAAACUCCUACGGGAGGCAGCAGUAGGGAAUCUUCCGCAAUGGACGCAAGUCUGACGGAGCAACGCCGCGUGUGUGAAGAAGGUUUUCGGAUCGUAAAGCACUGUUAUUAGAGAAGAACAGCCGAUAGAGUAACUGUUAUCGGUUUGACGGUAUCUAACCAGAAAGUGACGGCUAACUACGUGCCAGCAGCCGCGGUAAUACGUAGGUCACAAGCGUUGUCCGGAUUUAUUGGGCGUAAAGGGAGCGCAGGCGGUUUGUUAAGUCUGAUGUGAAAGCCCACGGCUCAACCGUGGAACGGCAUUGGAAACUGGCAAACUUGAGUAUAGAAGAGGAAAGUGGAAUUCCAUGUGUAGCGGUGAAAUGCGUAGAUAUAUGGAGGAACACCAGUGGCGAAGGCGACUUUCUGGUCUAUAACUGACGCUGAGGCUCGAAAGCGUGGGGAGCGAACAGGAUUAGAUACCCUGGUAGUCCACGCCGUAAACGAUGAGUGUUAAGUGUUGGGGGGCUUCCACCCCUCAGUGCUGG
This 852-nucleotide ribosomal RNA is filed under the name uncultured bacterium. RNAcentral's name for it is "bacterial SSU rRNA". It matches the Rfam family "Bacterial small subunit ribosomal RNA", at positions 17 to 849 of the family's 1533-position model. The record is from RNAcentral.